Molecule: ribosomal RNA, 643 nt
Filed under: uncultured bacterium
Lineage: Bacteria
Description: bacterial SSU rRNA
Rfam family: Bacterial small subunit ribosomal RNA
Source: RNAcentral
GGAGCAACAGGAUUAGAUACCCUGGUAGUCCACGCCGUAAACGAUGAUCACUAGACGUUAGUCCUGCUUUGCGGAGAUUAGUGUCGUAGCUAACGCGUUAAGUGAUCCGCCUGGGGAUUACGGUCGCAAGACUAAAACUUAAAGGAAUUGACGGGGGUCCGCACAAGCGGUGGAACAUGUGGUUUAAUUCGACACUACGCGAGGAACCUUACCUAGGUUUGACAUGUAUUUGACCGCUGUAGAAAUACAGUUUUUUGAACUUUGUUCAAACAGAUACACAGGUGCUGCAUGGCUGUCGUCAGCUCGUGUCGUGAGAUGUCUGGUUGAGUCCUCUAACGAGCGCAACUCCUACUGCCAGUUGCUAUUCCGUAAGGAAGCACUCUGGUGGAACUGCCUGGGAAACCAGGAGGAAGGUGGGAAUGACGUCAAGUCCUCAUGGCCUUUAUGCCUAGGGCAACACACGUGUUACAAUGGUUGGUACAAAGGGCUGCAAUCUCGUAAGGGGGAGCUAAUCCUUAAAGCCAAUCUAAGUUCGGAUUGAGGUCUGCAACUCGACCUCAUGAAGUUGAAAUCGCUAGUAAUCGCAUAUCAGAACGAUGCGGUGAAUACGUUCUCGGGCCUUGUACACACCGCCCGUAAGGGC